GGGCCCGCACAAGCGGCGGAGCAUGUGGAUUAAUUCGAUGCAACGCGAAGAACCUUACCUGGGCUUGACAUACACCGGACCGGGCCAGAGAUGGUCCUUCCCUUGUGGCCGGUGUACAGGUGGUGCAUGGUUGUCGUCAGCUCGUGUCGUGAGAUGUUGGGUUAAGUCCCGCAACGAGCGCAACCCUUGUCUUAUGUUGCCAGCACGUGAUGGUGGGGACUCAUGAGAGACUGCCGGGGUCAACUCGGAGGAAGGUGGGGAUGACGUCAAAUCAUCAUGCCCCUUAUGUCCAGGGCUUCACACAUGCUACAAUGGUCGGUACAGCAGGUCGCGAACUCGUGAGGGUGAGCUAAUCCUACAAAGCCGGCCUCAGUUCGGAUUGGGGUCUGCAACUCGACCCCAUGAAGUCGGAGUCGCUAGUAAUCGCAGAUCAGCAACGCUGCGGUGAAUACGUUCCCGGGCCUU
This 465-nucleotide ribosomal RNA is filed under the name uncultured bacterium. RNAcentral's name for it is "bacterial SSU rRNA". It matches the Rfam family "Bacterial small subunit ribosomal RNA", at positions 917 to 1382 of the family's 1533-position model. The record is from RNAcentral.